RNAcentral lists this long non-coding RNA (351 nucleotides) under Chrysemys picta bellii (western painted turtle). RNAcentral's name for it is "lncRNA (ENSCPBG00000011330.1)". Lineage: Eukaryota; Metazoa; Chordata; Testudines; Emydidae. The record is from RNAcentral.
CAAACGGUGAAGAGAAACAAUCCCUCUGCUCAUUGUGUCACCAUUCCCUCAGUGAGCGACUGGCUGAGUCACCACUACCACAAGGGAGCUGAAGCACACUGAGCCAUGCAGCACUGCACCUAGAACAGAGAGCUCCAUGACAGCCUUCAGCGCUCGCAUAGCCUGUGUUCCAUAAUUUAAGCAAUGUCAAGUGCAGCAUCAUUAUUUGGGUUUCCUGUCUGGCUAAGAACAAGAGUGGCACCACUUCAUGUCUAAUGCAUCAUCUCUUCGGGAUCUGUAUGCUGCCCUUGCAGAGAGACGGGCUCAGCAACCUAACUGAUCUGUGCCAUGUCUAACUUUAAUAAGUCUGUA